GGUUCUGUAGUGUAGCGGUUAUCACUCAAGAUUCUGACCUUGCAGGCUGAAUUCUUGUAACCCCGGUUCGAAUCCGGGCAGGACCU
Molecule: non-coding RNA, 86 nt
Organism: Crepidotus variabilis
Lineage: Eukaryota; Fungi; Basidiomycota; Agaricomycetes; Agaricales; Crepidotaceae
Source: the annotation of a GenBank genome assembly